RNAcentral lists this ribosomal RNA (164 nucleotides) under Phyllanthus lacunarius. RNAcentral's name for it is "5.8S ribosomal RNA". It matches the Rfam family "5.8S ribosomal RNA". From Rfam's summary of the family: 5.8S ribosomal RNA (5.8S rRNA) is a component of the large subunit of the eukaryotic ribosome. It is transcribed by RNA polymerase I as part of the 45S precursor that also contains 18S and 28S rRNA. Lineage: Eukaryota; Viridiplantae; Streptophyta; Magnoliopsida; Malpighiales; Phyllanthaceae. The record is from RNAcentral.
UAAACGACUCUCGGCAACGGAUAUCUCGGCUCUCGCAUCGAUGAAGAACGUAGCGAAAUGCGAUACUUGGUGUGAAUUGCAGAAUCCCGUGAACCAUCGAGUCUUUGAACGCAAGUUGCGCCCAAAGCCUUCGGGUUGAGGGCACGUCUGCCUGGGUGUCACAC